CGAGGGCAUGGGCCUGGUGUUCGAGCCCGAGGCCUCGGACGCCGCCCGGGGCGAAUGGAAGUUCGUCACCGACGUGCAAAGCCCCGACUUUCUGC
This 95-nucleotide transfer RNA is filed under the name Variovorax boronicumulans. RNAcentral's name for it is "tRNA-Pro". The record is from RNAcentral. Lineage: Bacteria; Pseudomonadati; Pseudomonadota; Betaproteobacteria; Burkholderiales; Comamonadaceae.